AUCAUUAGGGUAUGCGAGAGGCAAGGUUGUUAUUUAGGGACACGACACAAAGGCAUUUGCACCAUACUGUAGCUCCACUGAUGCGGCAUAUGACAGAAUCAGCAGUACAGCUAGUGCUGAGCUAGAACUUGCCAUCUAGAAAGAUGAGAACUUGCCAUCUGCAGAGUACCGAUACCUGAAAAUAGUGAGUUGAGACCACGCGGUCAUGCAAGUUUAUCGAAAUCAAGUAAUAACAUUGAAAUUCCUAAACAAGGAACUCGCCAAUGCAACCAUAAAUCAAGCAUGAGAUCGAAUCUCAUGACUCCAUGACUAUAACUGACCAUACUAGUGUUCAAAUUCAUCAUUGAUAAGACUAUAUCUUGAAUCAUCUCGAAGAAGAAGACACAUGCAAUCGCUCCCAAUGCUCUCAGCAGAGAGAUUUUCUUCCUCUGGUCUCUUCAUUUGAAAAAUGAUUUAACAGCACAAAAAGAUCCUCAUGCUGAAAAUCUUCGUUAGAAAUUAUUCUUCCUGUUUGUCGCAAUAAAAUCUAACAAUGAUAAAAUUUCAAACCCAGC
Molecule: long non-coding RNA, 554 nt
Filed under: Phoenix dactylifera (date palm)
Lineage: Eukaryota; Viridiplantae; Streptophyta; Magnoliopsida; Arecales; Arecaceae
Description: long non-coding RNA (PDAC_LNC021863)
Source: RNAcentral